GUGCGGCUAGCUUUCGUUAGAUACUAUUUGUGUUUAAUUUUAAAUAAAAAAAAUUCAUAAUGAUUUAUGACUGCAUAAUAUGUACAAUGAAUGAGUAGGAUGCUAGAAUCCUCAUCAAGAGGAUUCAAAUGGAAUCCAAAUCUAUUUAAAUGUUGAUUAAUGUGCUUGUUUCUUAUUGGUGACACAUUAUUUGGUUUGCAAAUUUAGUUCAAAGAUUUUAUCUCCAUAGCUUUAUCAUUUUUUCUAUGGCAAAUUCUAACCAAAUUUUGUAAAUCAAAUUAUGUGGAUGGAAAUG
RNAcentral lists this long non-coding RNA (295 nucleotides) under Malus domestica (apple). RNAcentral's name for it is "long non-coding RNA (MDOM_LNC002765)". Lineage: Eukaryota; Viridiplantae; Streptophyta; Magnoliopsida; Rosales; Rosaceae. The record is from RNAcentral.